ACGGCUCAGUAACACGUGGAUAACCUGCCCUUGGGUCCGGCAUAACUCCGGGAAACUGGAGAUAAUUCCGGAUAACGCAUAUAUGCUGGAAUGCUUUAUGCGUAAAAUGGAUUCGUCUGCCCAAGGAUGGGUCUGCGGCCUAUCAGGUAGUAGUGGGUGUAAUGUACCUACUAGCCUGCGACGGGUACGGGUUGUGAGAGCAAGAGCCCGGAGAUGGAUUCUGAGACAUGAAUCCAGGCCCUACGGGGCGCAGCAGGCGCGAAAACUUUACAAUGCGGGAAACCGUGAUAAGGGGACACCGAGUGCCAGCAUCAUAUGCUGGCUGUCCAGGUGUGUAAAAUACACCUGUUAGCAAGGGCCGGGCAAGACCGGUGCCAGCCGCCGCGGUAACACCGGCGGCCCGAGUGGUGAUCGUGAUUAUUGGGUCUAAAGGGUCCGUAGCCGGUUUGGUCAGUCCUCCGGGAAAUCUGAUAGCUCAACUAUUAGGCUUUCGGAGGAUACUGCCAGACUUGGAACCGGGAGAGGUAAGAGGUACUACAGGGGUAGGAGUGAAAUCUUGUAAUCCCUGUGGGACCACCUGUGGCGAAGGCGUCUUACCAGAACGGGUUCGACGGUGAGGGACGAAAGCUGGGGGCACGAACCGGAUUAGAUACCCGGGUAGUCCCAGCCGUAAACGAUGCUCGCUAGGUGUCAGGCAUGGCGCGACCGUGUCUGGUGCCGCAGGGAAGCCGUGAAGCGAGCCACCUGGGAAGUACGGCCGCAAGGCUGAAACUUAAAGGAAUUGGCGGGGGAGCAC
RNAcentral lists this ribosomal RNA (796 nucleotides) under uncultured Methanosarcinaceae archaeon. RNAcentral describes it as "bacterial SSU rRNA". It matches the Rfam family "Archaeal small subunit ribosomal RNA", at positions 85 to 879 of the family's 1478-position model. The record is from RNAcentral. Lineage: Archaea; Methanobacteriati; Methanobacteriota; Methanomicrobia; Methanosarcinales; Methanosarcinaceae. RNAcentral also lists the same sequence under 1 other name.